This is a non-coding RNA of Castor canadensis (American beaver), 1314 nucleotides long. The record is from RefSeq and is a predicted model, not a curated record. Lineage: Eukaryota; Metazoa; Chordata; Mammalia; Rodentia; Castoridae.
AUGGCGUACAAUUCAGUGAGAUGUAGUAUAAAUGGAGUACAGUCUAAAGGGGCCCGCGUGCCGCCACCCUCUUGGCCCGCCAUACUGCUACCGGUGCCGCUACUGCUCAGCCUUCCCAGCCUGGCCGUCACUGAGUCCCCUGUGUACUUCAAGGAGCAGUUUCUGGACGGAGAUGAUUGGACCUCUCGCUGGAUCGAAUCCAAACACAAGUCAGAUCUUGGCAAAUUCAUCCUCAGUUCCGGCAAGUUCUAUGGUGACCAGAAGAAGGAUAAAGGACUGCAAACUAGCCAGGAUGUCGGCUUUUAUGCCCUGUUGCCAAGAUCUGAGCCUUUCAGCAACAAGAGCCAGAUGCUGGUGGUGCAAUUCACCAUGAAGCAUGAGCAGAACACUGACUGUGGGGGCGGCUACGUGAAGCUGUUUCCGAGUUUGGACCAGAAAGACAUGCACGGAGACUCAGAAUUUAACAUCAUGUUCAGACCAGACAUCUGUGGCCCUGGCACCAAGAAGGUUCAUGUCAUUUUCAACUAUAAGAAAAUGGCAAGAACGUGCUAAUCAACAAGGACAUCCGGUGCAAGGAUGAUGAAUUCACACACCUGUACACACUCAUUGUCCAGAAUGACAACACCUAUGAGGUGAAAAUUGACAACAGCCAAGUGGGGUCUGGUUCCUUGAGGAAGAUUGGGACUUCCUGCCCCUCAAAAAGAUAAAGGAUCCUGAUGCUGUCAAGCCAGAAGACUGGGAUGAGCGCGCCAAGAUUGAUGACCCCACAGAUUCCAAACCUGAGGAAUGGGACAAGCCAGAACACAUCCCUGAUCCUGAUGCUAAGAAGCCAGAAGACUGGGAUGAAGAGAUGGAUGGAGAGUGGAAACCACCAGUGAUUCAGAACCCUGAGUACAAGGGCGAGUGGAAGCCACAGCAAAUUGACAACCCCGAUUACAAGGGCACCUGGAUCCACCCUGAAAUUGACAACACUGACUACUCCCCAGAAGCCAGUAUCUAUGCUUAUGACAACUUUGCUGUGCUGGGCCUAGAUCUCUGGCAGGUCAAGUCUGGCACCAUCUUUGACAACUUCCUCAUCACCAAGGAUGAGGCAUAUGCAGAGGAGUUUGUCAAUGAGACUGGGGUGUCACAAAGGCAGCAGAAAAGCAGAUGAAGGAUAAACAGGACGAGGAGCAGAGGCUUAAAGAAGAGGAGGCGGAGGAGGCAGAGGACAAGGAGGAUGAGGAAGACAAAGAUGAGGAUGAGGAUGACGAAGAGAACAAGGAGGAAGACGAGGAGGAAGCUACUGCUGGCCAGGCAAAGGAAGAGCUGUAG